This 484-nucleotide ribosomal RNA is filed under the name uncultured bacterium. RNAcentral describes it as "partial 16S ribosomal RNA". It matches the Rfam family "Bacterial small subunit ribosomal RNA", at positions 28 to 523 of the family's 1533-position model. The record is from RNAcentral.
GACGAACGCUGGCGGCGUGCUUAACACAUGCAAGUCGAACGAUGAACCCGGAGCUUGCUCCGGUGGAUUAGUGGCGAACGGGUGAGUAACACGUGAGUAACCUGCCCUUGGCUCUGGGAUAACUGCGGGAAACUGUAGCUAAUACCGGAUACGACCCUCGGCGGCAUCGCCAGGGGGUGGAAAGAAUUUCGGUCAAGGAUGGACUCGCGGCCUAUCAGCUAGUUGGUGAGGUAACGGCUCACCAAGGCGACGACGGGUAGCCGGCCUGAGAGGGUGACCGGCCACACUGGGACUGAGACACGGCCCAGACUCCUACGGGAGGCAGCAGUGGGGAAUAUUGCACAAUGGGCGCAAGCCCGAUGCAGCAACGCCGCGUGAGGGAUGACGGCCUUCGGGUUGUAAACCUCUUUUAGUAGGGAAGAAGCGAAAGUGACGGUACCUGCAGAAAAAGCACCGGCUAACUACGUGCCAGCCGCCGCGGUAA